GGCGAACGCUGGCGGCGUGCUUAACACAUGCAAGUCGAACGGAAAGGCCCUGCUUUUGUGGGGUGCUCGAGUGGCGAACGGGUGAGUAACACGUGAGUAACCUGCCCUUGACUUUGGGAUAACUUCAGGAAACUGGGGCUAAUACCGGAUAGGAGCUCCUGCCGCAUGGUGGGGGUUGGAAAGUUUCGGCGGUUGGGGAUGGACUCGCGGCUUAUCAGCUUGUUGGUGGGGUAGUGGCUUACCAAGGCUUUGACGGGUAGCCGGCCUGAGAGGGUGACCGGCCACAUUGGGACUGAGAUACGGCCCAGACUCCUACGGGAGGCAGCAGUGGGGAAUAUUGCACAAUGGGCGGAAGCCUGAUGCAGCAACGCCGCGUGCGGGAUGACGGCCUUCGGGUUGUAAACCGCUUUCGCCUGUGACGAAGCGUGAGUGACGGUAAUGGGUAAAGAAGCACCGGCUAACUACGUG
RNAcentral lists this ribosomal RNA (468 nucleotides) under uncultured bacterium. RNAcentral's name for it is "partial 16S ribosomal RNA". It matches the Rfam family "Bacterial small subunit ribosomal RNA", at positions 28 to 507 of the family's 1533-position model. The record is from RNAcentral.